Acanthochromis polyacanthus (spiny chromis) is the source of this 1492-nucleotide long non-coding RNA. RefSeq lists it as uncharacterized. The transcript is spliced from 2 exons. NCBI's taxonomy places the organism in Eukaryota, Metazoa, Chordata, Actinopteri, Pomacentridae. The record is from RefSeq and is a predicted model, not a curated record.
GCUAGAUUUUAGCUUUAUGUGUGCACAUUUGCUGUUGAGCUAUAACCCUGGCACCAUCAGUGCUGUUAAUCUCUUCUACACUGAACAAAAAUAAACACAGCACUUUUGUUUUUGCUCCCAUGUUUUAUGAGAUGAACUCAAAGAUAUUAAACUUUUUCCACAUACACAAUAUCACCAUUUAUCUCAAAUAUUGUUCACAAAUCUGUUUAAAUCUGUGAUAGUGAGCACUUCUCCUUUGCUGAGAUAAUCCAUCCCACCUCACAGGUGUGUCAUAUCAAGAUGCUGAUUAGACACCAUGAUUAGUGCACAGGUGUGCCUUAGACUGCCCACAAUAAAAGGCCACUCUGAAAGGUGCAGUUUUGUUUUACUGGGGGGGAGGGGGGCAUGAGCACGCAGAUGAGCUUCCCUGAGAUGAUUUCUGACAGUUUGCGCAGAAAUUCACCCUUUGUCAGCCCUCUGAUUGGUUCCUGGCUCGACCAAUCAGAAAAAUCCUUCGCCGUUGCCCAACUUCCGGUUGGACAUUUGGCCUCGGCUCUAUCACAACAUCACAACAACUGAACAAGAGUAGAUUUAAAAUGGUUAAACGGUGUGCAUGGGGGACUUGUAAAAGUGACUCUCGCUAUCCUGAGAGAAGCCCAGGAGUAUAUUUUAUCCCAUUCCCGAAACCGAAAGUACAUUACGAAAAAUGUUUACUUUGGAUACGUUUAUGCGGACGUCCGCACUGGCAGCUAAAUCCGUCCAAAAUAACGAAAUACACGUACAUCUGCUCUGAGGUAAGUUGGCACAUUAUUCUUUACAGUAGUAAUGUCACAAUUUAAGAGCUAAUGUUAGUGGUUGUACUUAGGUUUUAUAGGCAUUUAUUUCCUUCUGCUAGCCAAAAUUGGCAUUAUAGCUGUCGUAGCCACUAGCUGUCAUAGCAUGAUUGUGUUCGCAUGCCAAGAUGAUGCCAUUCUGUAACAUCUGUUUAUAUUUUUUAUGAAAGCACUUUGUUGAUGGGGCACCAAGUGAUCGAUACCCAAACCCCGUGGAUGCAACAGGAAAGUCUGUUAAGCCUUGCAGACUUAACCCCAAAAGACAAAGGCUGCAUCAGCAGAGUGAGAGCGGCAGUUUGGCAAGCCCAGGUCAUACCAUGGCUGAAGAUACAGCACAGACCAGUAACGUGGCAGAAGAAGACGCACAGCAAAGCAGCAUAGCAGAAGAGAAAGAAGAGAUUGGCAGCGGCGCAGAAGAGACAGAAGAGACGAAAGAGAUUGGCAGCAGGGCAGAAGAGAGAACAAACCCAGGAGAGACCUGUUACACUGCAGAAGACACAGCACAGCCCAACACAGUCGGACACAUGUCAGAAAACGCUCAGUAUCUGUCAUUUUUAUAUGUUUCCUGUGGAUGUAGGAUAUGAAAAAAGAAAAGUCAGUUCAGAAACAUUUUUAUGCAAUACAUUUGUAUUUACAUUUGUAUACUUGUUUAAUGCAAUUAAAGUAAUUGAUUCAUUUUA